This is a long non-coding RNA of Mauremys reevesii (Reeves's turtle), 863 nucleotides long. RefSeq lists it as uncharacterized. NCBI's taxonomy places the organism in Eukaryota, Metazoa, Chordata, Testudines, Geoemydidae. The record is from RefSeq and is a predicted model, not a curated record. The transcript is spliced from 2 exons.
GACGGACGGAGAGCCUGCCAGAGCACCUGGAAGGAGCUAAUCUACAGAGUGACCAGGAGGAGGUGCCCUAGCGGCUUUCCUCAAUGGUGCCCCAGUGCCAGGAAUUGUCUCUGCCUCAGAGCUCCCUUGCUUGCCUUGUUGUGAAAAUCGGGCCUACACAUUUACUCUAAUUAUGACCUCAACAGUCAAAAGUAUGUGAAAGUUCAGAAAAUGCCACAAUAAUAUGUAAUAGCAAACGUUGGUGGGGAAAGGUACGAAAAGGAGCCAGAGGAACAGAAUGAGUCUAAACAAAAAGGCCUGCUGAUAUAACUCAAAGGCUGUGUUAAAAUCGUGAUUGGCAAAAACAGAUGAUAUGGAACUGGAAAUUAAUAAACCAGAAUUGGCAUAUCAAAUGUAAGGCCUAGUUGGUGGACAAAAUAAUGAGGGAAUGGGCCAUUCCACCCACCACUCCCUUUUGGGCACUUAAACAAGAGACUUUGGAGGGAGAAUAUGGAAGAACAAGUGGAGUCUACUGGAGUGAGCUUCACCUUCAUGGCUGCCAUCCCCACCCUCUCCUGGGACCUCAGACCUUCAUCAUCUUAAUCCUGAGAGAUGUCCUGACCAGACUGGGCCAGAGAGAGAGACCCAGAUGGCAUCGCCCCAUCAGCUCCAGCUGAGAUAAAACAGGAUCAGACUUUAAUAACAACAGCAGCUCUGGCUCAUCUCAACUUGCUUCUUCUCUUUACCCCAAUAGACACCUAGUACCAUCUUCAGUACCCUCUAAAAGACUGUCAAACAAGGGAGUUUUCCCUCUAAAUCUCUCUCCAGGGAAAGGGAACAAAAAAUGUUGUUAAAAUAAAAGUCGUACUUAAUACUUCACAUUU